Molecule: ribosomal RNA, 410 nt
Filed under: uncultured bacterium
Lineage: Bacteria
Description: bacterial SSU rRNA
Rfam family: Bacterial small subunit ribosomal RNA
Source: RNAcentral
AAUGGGGGAAACCCUGACGCAGCAACGCCGCAUGAGUGAUGAAGGCCUUCGGGUCGUAAAGCUCUGUCAGAGGGAAAGAAAUGUGAGCGGCUAAUAUCCGUUCCACUUGACGGUACCCUCAGAGGAAGCACCGGCUAACUCCGUGCCAGCAGCCGCGGUAAUACGGAGGGUGCAAGCGUUGUUCGGAAUUAUUGGGCGUAAAGCGCGUGUAGGCGGUUUCUUAAGUCUGAUGUGAAAGCCCCGGGCUCAACCUGGGAAGUGCAUUGGAAACUGGGGGACUUGAGUACGGGAGAGGAGAGUGGAAUUCCUAGUGUAGGAGUGAAAUCCGUAGAUAUUAGGAGGAACACCGGUGGCGAAGGCGGCUCUCUGGACCGAUACUGACGCUGAGACGCGAAAGCGUGGGUAGCAAA